UCAAUGUAGCUGGAGAUGAGUGUCACCCAAAUUUUCUAAUGUCCAAAUAUAUUGCAGGAUAUUUGUUUACACUGUGUGAAAAUGUGUCUGUGUUUUGCCUCACCUGCCUAAGGCACCUGAACAGCCAAUAACUAGGCGGGAGAGAAUAGUCAGGAUUUCUGGGGAGAGAGAGGAAUGGUGGGAGCAAGAAAGGAGGAGAUGCCAGCGAGACGAGGAGGGAGUUGGACACACAGAAUGGUGAAGAGGUAAAAAGCCACGUGGCAGAAUGAAGAUUGAUAGAAAUGGGUUAAGUUGUAAGAGCUAGUUGGGAACAAGCCUAAGCUAAAGGUCAGACUUUCAUAAUUAAUAAUAAGUCUCUAUGUCAUUAUUGGGAGCUGGUGGUUCCAAAAGGAAGUCUGACAAGAAAGUCCUGUUACACAAGCAGUUAUUUCCUUAGACAUCAGCACAAGUUUGAGGUACAAAACAAGAAUAUAAGAGUCUAUCUCCUGAGGUUUUAGAGCACAGGAGGUAUUACAAGUAACCCGACACCAUCUUUUUCUCUAGGCUGAAGGCAAUCUUUGAUCAGUGUCUUUUUAACUAAUGAAGUUGCCUGGUUUUGGUCCUCCUUCAUUUCUUCAUCUUCAGGAACUCAUCAUGGGAAGACUCUGUAACCAAUUUGAAUCUUUAGUCAUAAUUCUUGACUUUUUGGCUCGGACAAGUCAUUUCUCCAACCCUUAGUUAUAAGGGCACCACAAGGUGUGGCUGAUUGGACUAAGGGGUAGAAUGCCUGACUUACCACAGCUCCCAAUGCCACUAGAACAAAUGAAGAGGUGUUGGAGAGAUGGGAAAGAUGGAGGAGCAAGGCAUGAAGGCUUUGUGUGAUAUCGAAAUGGCUGGAAUUUUAGGUCUCCAGGCACGUCAGAGGUUCUAUUCUUGAGCAGGAGUUUUCCCUUAAAGGGCCUCGACUACCAGUGUAACAAGUUCAGAAGCGAGUGCAGUUUGUCUACCCCGACUCUCAGGAGCUAGAAGAAAGCAAUGAUGUUAAGAGCCAACUUUAGCCGGGUGGUGGUGGCGGCGGCGG
Molecule: long non-coding RNA, 1060 nt
Organism: Peromyscus eremicus (cactus mouse)
Lineage: Eukaryota; Metazoa; Chordata; Mammalia; Rodentia; Cricetidae
Exons: 3
Source: RefSeq, a predicted model, not a curated record